AGAAGGUGGCUUGCACGUCAGAGUACCUUCUGACAGCCCCCACGCCCAGAUGGAGACGUUGGUAGUUGAUCAUGAGCUACACUAGCCACGCCAUAGGGGCAUAGAUAGGUCAGCCGCCUAAUCACUGACACAACAGUCCGCGCGUAUAAACACGCACCGAGCCGCAAUAUGUCGAGUGAUGGGAUGCUCAACGCGUCGUGCCACGUACUGAGCCAAAAUACAAAAGGAAACGUUGAUAUCCUGAGAAAGAUAGGUGCAAAC
RNAcentral lists this long non-coding RNA (261 nucleotides) under Actinidia chinensis (golden kiwifruit). RNAcentral's name for it is "long non-coding RNA (ACHI_LNC008741)". The record is from RNAcentral. Lineage: Eukaryota; Viridiplantae; Streptophyta; Magnoliopsida; Ericales; Actinidiaceae.